AAAAAAGGUAAGCUACUAAGAGCGAAUGGUGGAUGCCUUGACUGGUAAAGGCGAUGAAGGACGUACUAGACUGCGAUAAGCUACGGGGAGCUGUCAAGAAGCUUUGAUCCGUAGAUUUCCGAAUGGGGCAACCCAAUGUAUAGAGAUAUACAUUACCUAUAUAGGAGCGAACGAGGGGAAUUGAAACAUCUUAGUACCCUCAGGAAAAGAAAUCAAUAGAGAUUGCGUCAGUAGCGGCGAGCGAAAGCGCAAGAGGGCAAACCCAGUGCUUGCACUGGGGGUUGUAGGACUGCAAUGUGCAAGAGGUAAGUUUAGCAGAACAUUCUGGAAAGUAUAACCAUAGAGGGUGAUAGUCCCGUAUGCGAAAAACAAACCUUAGCUAGCAGUAUCCUGAGUAGGGCGGGACACGAGGAAUCCUGUCUGAAUCCGGGUCGACCACGAUCCAACCCUAAAUACUAAUACCAGAUCGAUAGUGCACAAGUACCGUGAGGGAAAGGUGAAAAGAACUGAGGUGAUCAGAGUGAAAUAGAACCUGAAACCAUUUGCUUACAAUCAUUCAGAGCCCUAUGUAGCAAUACAGGGUGAUGGACUGCCUUUUGCAUAAUGAGCCUGCGAGUUGUGGUGUCUGGCAAGGUUAAGCAAACGCGAAGCCGUAGCGAAAGCGAGUCUGAAUAGGGCGCUUAGUCAGAUGCUGCAGACCCGAAACGAAGUGAUCUAUCCAUGAGCAAGUUGAAGCUAGUGUAAGAACUAGUGGAGGACUGAACCCAUAGGCGUUGAAAAGCCCCGGGAUGACUUGUGGAUAGGGGUGAAAGGCCAAUCAAACUUCGUGAUAGCUGGUUCUCUCCGAAAUAUAUUUAGGUAUAGCGUUGUGUCGUAAUAUAAGGGGGUAGAGCACUGAAUGGGCUAGGGCAUACACCAAUGUACCAAACCCUAUCAAACUCCGAAUACCUUAUAUGUAAUCACAGCAGUCAGGCGGCGAGUGAUAAAAUCCGUCGUCAAGAGGGAAACAACCCAGACUACCAGCUAAGGUCCCUAAAUCUUACUUAAGUGGAAAACGAUGUGAAGUUACUUAAACAACCAGGAGGUUGGCUUAGAAGCAGCCAUCCUUUAAAGAAAGCGUAAUAGCUCACUGGUCUAGUGAUUUUGCGCGGAAAAUAUAACGGGGCUAAAGUAAGUACCGAAGCUGUAGACUUGCACACAACUUAGAUUAUUUAAGUUUAGAAUAUGAGAAACUAAGUUAUAUGUUUAGUUAUAUUUUUGCUGAUUUUUAUAGAGUAAAGAUAGAAAUAAAACUUAGUAAAAUCAGUAAAAAUAUUCUUAGACUAAAGUUAAGUAGUUUAAGUUGUGUGCAAGUGGUAGGAGAGCGUUCUAUUUGCGUCGAAGGUAUACCGGUAAGGAGUGCUGGAGCGAAUAGAAGUGAGCAUGCAGGCAUGAGUAGCGAUAAUUAAUGUGAGAAUCAUUAACGCCGUAAACCCAAGGUUUCCUACGCGAUGCUCGUCAUCGUAGGGUUAGUCGGGUCCUAAGUCGAGUCCGAAAGGGGUAGACGAUGGCAAAUUGGUUAAUAUUCCAAUACCAACAUUAGUGUGCGAUGGAAGGACGCUUAGGGCUAAGGGGGCUAGCGGAUGGAAGUGCUAGUCUAAGGUCGUAGGAGGUUAUACAGGCAAAUCCGUAUAACAAUACUCCGAGAACUGAAAGGCUUUUUGAAGUCUUCGGAUGGAUAGAAGAACCCCUGAUGCCGUCGAGCCAAGAAAAGUUUCUAAGUUUAGCUAAUGUUGCCCGUACCGUAAACCGACACAGGUGGGUGGGAUGAGUAUUCUAAGGCGCGUGGAAGAACUCUCUUUAAGGAACUCUGCAAAAUAGCACCGUAUCUUCGGUAUAAGGUGUGGUUAGCUUUGUAUUAGGAUUUACUCCGAAAGCAAGGAAACUUACAACAAAGAGUCCCUCCCGACUGUUUACCAAAAACACAGCACUCUGCUAACUCGUAAGAGGAUGUAUAGGGUGUGACGCCUGCCCGGUGCUCGAAGGUUAAUUGAUGGGGUUAGCAUUAGCGAAGCUCUUGAUCGAAGCCCGAGUAAACGGCGGCCGUAACUAUAACGGUCCUAAGGUAGCGAAAUUCCUUGUCGGUUAAAUACCGACCUGCAUGAAUGGCGUAACGAGAUGGGAGCUGUCUCAAAGAGGGAUCCAGUGAAAUUGUAGUGGAGGUGAAAAUUCCUCCUACCCGCGGCAAGACGGAAAGACCCCGUGGACCUUUACUACAGCUUGACACUGCUACUUGGAUAAGAAUGUGCAGGAUAGGUGGGAGGCUUUGAGUAUAUGACGCCAGUUGUAUAUGAGCCAUUGUUGAGAUACCACUCUUUCUUAUUUGGGUAGCUAACCAGCUUGAGUUAUCCUCAAGUGGGACAAUGUCUGGUGGGUAGUUUGACUGGGGCGGUCGCCUCCCAAAUAAUAACGGAGGCUUACAAAGGUUGGCUCAGAACGGUUGGAAAUCGUUCGUAGAGUAUAAAGGUAUAAGCCAGCUUAACUGCAAGACAUACAAGUCAAGCAGAGACGAAAGUCGGUCUUAGUGAUCCGGUGGUUCUGUGUGGAAGGGCCAUCGCUCAAAGGAUAAAAGGUACCCCGGGGAUAACAGGCUGAUCUCCCCCAAGAGCUCACAUCGACGGGGAGGUUUGGCACCUCGAUGUCGGCUCAUCGCAUCCUGGGGCUGGAGCAGGUCCCAAGGGUAUGGCUGUUCGCCAUUUAAAGCGGUACGCGAGCUGGGUUCAGAACGUCGUGAGACAGUUCGGUCCCUAUCUGCCGUGGGCGUAAGAAGAUUGAAGAGAUUUGACCCUAGUACGAGAGGACCGGGUUGAACAAACCACUGGUGUAGCUGUUGUUCUGCCAAGAGCAUCGCAGCGUAGCUAAGUUUGGAAAGGAUAAACGCUGAAAGCAUCUAAGCGUGAAGCCAACUCUAAGAUGAAUCUUCUCUAAGCUCUCUAGAAGACUACUAGUUUGAUAGGCUGGGUGUGUAAUGGAUGAAAGUCCUUUAGCUGACCAGUACUAAUAGAGCGUUUGGCUUAUCUUUAAUAAAGCAU
RNAcentral lists this ribosomal RNA (3071 nucleotides) under Campylobacter jejuni. RNAcentral's name for it is "23S ribosomal RNA". It matches the Rfam family "Bacterial large subunit ribosomal RNA". Lineage: Bacteria; Pseudomonadati; Campylobacterota; Epsilonproteobacteria; Campylobacterales; Campylobacteraceae. The record is from RNAcentral.